Molecule: non-coding RNA, 73 nt
Organism: Macrostomum lignano
Lineage: Eukaryota; Metazoa; Platyhelminthes; Macrostomidae
Source: Rfam
GGUCCCAUGCGUGUAGCGGUUAGCACUCAGGACUCUGAAUCCUGCGACCCGAGUUCGAGUCUCGGUGGGACCU